GGCACCUUCGGUGUCCGAGUUGUAAUCUCUAGAAAUGUUUUCCGCGUUGGACCGCACACAAGUCUGUUGGAAUACAGCGGCAUAGUGGUGAGACCCCCGUAUAUGGUGCGGACGCCCAGCGCUUUGUGAUACAUUUUCGAAGAGUCGAGUUGUUUGGGAAUGCAGCUCAAAUCGGGUGGUAAAUUCCAUCUAAAGCUAAAUAUUGGCGAGAGACCGAUAGCGAACAAGUACCGUGAGGGAAAGAUGAAAAGCACUUUGGAAAGAGAGUUAACAGUACGUGAAAUUGUUGGAAGGGAAACGCUUGAAGUCAGACUUGCUUGCCGAGCAAUCGGUUUGCAGGCCAGCAUCAGUUUUCCGGGAUGGAUAAUGGUAGAGAGAAGGUAGCAGUUUCGGCUGUGUUAUAGCUCUCUGCUGGAUACAUCUUGGGGGAUCUGAGGAACGCAGU
RNAcentral lists this ribosomal RNA (445 nucleotides) under Rhodotorula mucilaginosa. Its description in RNAcentral is "eukaryotic LSU rRNA". It matches the Rfam family "Eukaryotic large subunit ribosomal RNA", at positions 124 to 565 of the family's 3401-position model. Lineage: Eukaryota; Fungi; Basidiomycota; Microbotryomycetes; Sporidiobolales; Sporidiobolaceae. The record is from RNAcentral.